ACGAACGCUGGCGGUAUGCCUAACACAUGCAAGUCGAACGCCCGCAAGGGAGUGGCGAACGGGUGAGUAACGCGUAGGUAACGUUUCUUAAAGUUGGGGAUAAGCACGGGAAACUGUGUCUAAUACCGGAUGUGGACGCAAGUCUAAAGCCUAUGGGCGCUUUAAGGUCGGCCUGCGUUGUAUUAGCUAGUUGGUGAGGUAACGGCUCACCAAGGCGACGAUACAUAGCGGAUCUGAGAGGGUGAUCCGCCACACUGGGACUGAGAUACGGCCCAGACUCCUACGGGAGGCAGCAGUGAGGAAUAUUGCGCAAUGGAGGCAACUCUGACGCAGCAAUACCGCGUGAACGAAGAAGGUCUAUGGAUUGUAAAGUUCUGUCGGGAGGGAAGAACGAGUCGGUUAGAAGCUGACUGUGACGGUACCUCCAAAGGAAGCACCGGCUAACUCCGU
This 450-nucleotide ribosomal RNA is filed under the name uncultured bacterium. RNAcentral's name for it is "bacterial SSU rRNA". It matches the Rfam family "Bacterial small subunit ribosomal RNA", at positions 29 to 506 of the family's 1533-position model. The record is from RNAcentral.